Molecule: long non-coding RNA, 693 nt
Organism: Cygnus olor (mute swan)
Lineage: Eukaryota; Metazoa; Chordata; Aves; Anseriformes; Anatidae
Exons: 3
Source: RefSeq, a predicted model, not a curated record
GCUGAGGGGAGGCGUCCCGGUGCCCCGUGGAGGGGUCCCGGCCCAGUGUGACACGGGGGGGAAAGUAAUUUCGGGAGAAACGAACGAGGCGUCUCGUUCCCCGAAAGGCAAAAUGACACUGAGCACACCAAAACUUCUCGGGGGGGACAUGUCCUCAGCCAGGUCUCAGGGAAAUCGUUCCAGCAAAGCAUCCCCUGCACUGGGAACUGUGGGAGUUUCACCAGGAGGGCUGUGCAAUAGAAAUGUCUCAGCCUGAAUCAGGUUUUUACCUAUCGCACCCUUCAGUGGGGUGUGGACUUGUUUAACUACCUGGAAUAUAAACCAUGCUGAGAAGAGUGCUUAAGCCAAUGCAGUGCAGCCUUCUCUGAGGGUUUCUUCACUCAAAAACCACGCAGACUGAGUACUGCAUCCUGCAACAGCCAUCUGCUUAGCAGAUACAUGAAAAAAUAAUAAUCAAAAGUCAGCAUGAGAACAGAGUUGUAUAAAAGAAUGGGGCUUUUAUUCUCUUACUAUUAAAGUUGCCAUGGAAGUUUCUAUUAUUUUAUGCAUGGAGUCAAGAUUUUCCCCUGUUAAUGGAUCUUCCAGGAUACCUGGCUGAUAAUUUCUCUUCAAAUUAUGAAAAGGAAAAAAAGAAAAAAAAGUUUUGCUUUUAUGUACAACUGAAGAAAAAGGUUACUGUAAUAAAGCUUAGUA